This is a long non-coding RNA of Bactrocera latifrons, 1501 nucleotides long. RefSeq lists it as uncharacterized. The transcript has 3 exons. The record is from RefSeq and is a predicted model, not a curated record. NCBI's taxonomy places the organism in Eukaryota, Metazoa, Arthropoda, Insecta, Diptera, Tephritidae.
UAUUUCGCUUGUUUUACGUUUAUUUGCCAAUAUUUUCAAACUUUGUAUAGGUUAUUUAAAUUUCUACUACAAUUUUUGUCUCAAUAUUGCUGUUAAAUUAUACAGUGGCGCGUUACAAUAACAAUUUCAAUAAUUCAGUCUUUUGAAAUAAAUCAAAACCUAAGUACAUUCAUUUCAGCAGAAAAACAUUAAAAUUAAUAUAAUGCAGCUUGUAUUUUAUCUAUGUAACAACUGUUUUUUACGCUUAAUUAUUUCUUCAAUAUAUUACGUUACGUUUUUCAAAAAUAGUUUCACAUUUCUUGCUAUAAAUAGUUUUCUUGCAGUAGUGGGAUUUCCAGAUUUUUCUCAUUUAUACAUCGACACUAUGUCUUAAUGUAAUGGCUAUUUGAAAUCUUUUUUCAGCAAUUUCAUUAGUUACUGUGAUUAUCGUUAAGUUUUUAAACCGCUGUCAUUCCUUUUGCCUGUCCCAGGAGGAUAUACAAUUGAAAAAUUAAAUUAUUAUAAAAAUAAAAGAUCGAAAAAUACUAUUUCCAGUUGCAAUUAUUUGAAGUGAACUUUGCAAACUUGAUAUAUUUUCAAACGCGACUUUUCGCCUUUUAAUUAUAUAUAAGUUUUCGAUUUUAUUAGCAAAUUCAAUAAAAUUGUAGAUUUAUUAAGUGUAGAUAGUUAUAAUUCCUCAGUUAUAUGUUUCGUUUUUUAGGUGGUACCGGCUUUGCUCCCAGAGCAUUUAGCAUUUCAAAUUGUUCUGCUAUGGAAGAACAAAAUUGUUAAAAGUGCUUUUUGCGAACGACUUUUUUGUAGAUGUGUCAAGUAUUCAUUAGCAGCUAUUUGAAAUGUAGUAUGAAUUAGUGAAGAAUUUCAUCGUGUACUUAUCGAUAUUUGCACUGUUUAGUCUGCGCUGUGUUUAGUGGCUCAUUUCUAUUUGUCAUCACUGUUAUUGGCGGUCCGUUACAAAUUAUACUCGACCUUUUCGUUUGCUUAGAAUUUCAACUGAAGUGCGUGUAAAUAUUAAGUUGAUUAAGAAAUAGAAAUAAUAUGUGUAAAAGUAACGAAAUUUUAACGUAAAAUUGUGUUACGCAGUAUUUCCACUAAAUCGGAAGUGUAUUAUUAGCAACUGCAAAUUAGAAACUCCAAAGUGUCGUGUGGGCAUAAAAAUGUUUAUUAAGUGUUUGAUAGUGUGUGUCUGUCGGGAAAAGCAAAUAAUACAUGCUAAUAUAAAUUUUAAUCAUUAUAAGUAAUUGGCUGCUUUGGCUUUCAAAUUCAUAACAGUUUUUAGUAUCAACAUAACCAAAGGAAAUAUUAAAUUUGCAAGCAGCCUCUACGAAACGCGUGGUACAACAGCUGUUAAUAAUUGCACGUACAUAGUCCUUAUCGACAUGCAGUUCUAUCUCAUCAGUCGUCUGUUCGAGUGUGCUAUGCGUUAUGCCAUAGUAGAAGUACAUGAUGAAACCCAGAGUCAUCCAUAUGGUGAAUCUAACUAAGUACCAUUACGCAACUACGG